Molecule: ribosomal RNA, 36 nt
Filed under: Cladonia subcariosa
Lineage: Eukaryota; Fungi; Ascomycota; Lecanoromycetes; Lecanorales; Cladoniaceae
Description: partial 28S ribosomal RNA
Source: RNAcentral
CAGGUAGGGAUACCCGCUGAACUUAAGCAUAUCAAU